Cercocebus atys (sooty mangabey) is the source of this 1353-nucleotide long non-coding RNA. RefSeq lists it as uncharacterized. Lineage: Eukaryota; Metazoa; Chordata; Mammalia; Primates; Cercopithecidae. The transcript has 2 exons. The record is from RefSeq and is a predicted model, not a curated record.
UACUCUAUAAAAUGUGAGGCUACUCCCACUUAUCAAAUUACAGAUGAGUUUAAUUACAGCGCACUGAGUAACCACACUGGGCUCCUUCAGAAAUGGCGGCAGGCGGGGCUGCUCUUCUCAGCUUCAGCUGUAGCCACCCCAGUGUCAGGAGGAAGUGCCCGGGUUCCUGGGGCCUGGGAGUGCACUCAGCUCUGCUGCCAGACAAGAGUGGGUGUGGUGGGCUGCACUGGGUACACUGCUGUACCGGCCACCACCCUCCGGCCACUCUCAGCCAGUGAGUACUCUGCGGGGCCAUCUGGCCACGUGUUCUGUGACUGGGUCAUUUACUCUGCUGCAGCCUCUUUUUCUCCUGCCUACAUUGUGUUCUGGACAAAGGUUUUGGGUCACAGUGUCCGACCAGAGGUGGACAAAGCGGCGUGGUACCUGCCGUAAGAAACAGAGAGGGAGCGUGGCGCGGGGUGAGAAACCUGUGCUUUAUGGAGGCUCGGGGCACCCUCAGGAAGGAGGACCAAGAACAGCAGGCCACUAGGGAGUGGGGAGAGCUCGGGGGCAUCACGAGGGGCAUCAGACUCUUCCCUGCAGGCCGGCGGGACUGACAGGCUCUCGUUCCAAUGCAGGCACUUUGCAGACAUCCUCCUCCACUCAUCUAACACGGAGACAACCUGUCUGGUAAAGCCUCUCAAAUCCAGCCAGAAUCAUCUGGAAGAGGUUAGCAGGCCGGCAGGAAGGCCAGCCUGAAAUGGACUUAGCUGGGAUUCUGCCUGGGGCCCUCACAUUAGCUGUGCAAUGCAGCCUCUGCCCAGAGUGCAAAACAGAAUGCUUCUGGAGCUGCUCGUGACAUCACCUCGCUGUGGCCGCCACACUGUCCCCAUUUGCUUUGGAAAGUAAUCCCCUGUAGUUCUGCAUCGGAAGCAGAGAGGGCACACACGGACUCCCUCCCCAUUCCAGCAGGCAUGGUCUCAAUGCCCCUGCACCUGGGCCUCUGGCCAGGGGCCUCCAUAGCUGCCUGCAGGAGUGAGUACACUGCAGUUGAGCACCUGGCCGUAGCCCUCCACCCUUACCCUGUGCGUCCCUAAAGCCUCCUGUGUCAAAUGAAGUCAUCAUUAUCCCCACCUCGUGAGCUGUCACAAGAAUAAAUAAUUUAAUAUAUGCAAGAUGCUUGGCACCGAGUGUUAUAAAACUCGAUGACGAUGAUAGUUUGCUUCAUCAUCAUCAUCGUCAUCACAACCACCACCAUUCAGUACAUGGUUUCCCGCCUUUGCACUUUUAAAGAAGGAAAACCAACUGCCAUGUGUAAUAUGAUUUAUUUACUACUUCGUUGAAACCAACUUUAAAUAAACUCACUUUUAAAAC